RNAcentral lists this ribosomal RNA (253 nucleotides) under uncultured bacterium. RNAcentral describes it as "partial 16S ribosomal RNA". It matches the Rfam family "Bacterial small subunit ribosomal RNA", at positions 524 to 776 of the family's 1533-position model. The record is from RNAcentral.
UACGAAGGGUGCAAGCGUUAAUCGGAAUUACUGGGCGUAAAGCGUGCGUAGGUGGUCUUUUAAGUCCGUUGUGAAAGCCCUGGGCUCAACCUGGGAAUGGCAGUGGAUACUGGAAGGCUGGAGUACGGUAGAGGAGGGUGGAAUUCCCGGUGUAGCGGUGAAAUGCGUAGAGAUCGGGAGGAACAUCAGUGGCGAAGGCGGAUCUCUGGGCCUUACCUGACGCUCAGGCGCGAAAGCUAGGGGAGCGAACUGG